CCAAAGGCUCUUUUCAGAGCCCCCACUAUUUCAAAAGAAGAGCUGG
Molecule: non-coding RNA, 46 nt
Organism: Bos taurus (domestic cattle)
Lineage: Eukaryota; Metazoa; Chordata; Mammalia; Artiodactyla; Bovidae
Source: Rfam